GUCUAUGGCAGGGCCACCCUGAACACACCCAACCUCGUCUGAUCUCGAAAGCUAAGCAGGAUCAGGCCUGGUUAGUACUUGGAAGGGAGACAGAGAAUAAUAGAGGCACAGACA
This 114-nucleotide ribosomal RNA is filed under the name Carlito syrichta (Philippine tarsier). The record is from RNAcentral. Lineage: Eukaryota; Metazoa; Chordata; Mammalia; Primates; Tarsiidae.